Ameiurus melas (black bullhead) is the source of this 80-nucleotide non-coding RNA. NCBI's taxonomy places the organism in Eukaryota, Metazoa, Chordata, Actinopteri, Siluriformes, Ictaluridae. The record is from the annotation of a GenBank genome assembly.
GCACACGGUGGCUUAGUGGUUAGAACGUUCGUCUCACAGAGUCGCCUCCAGUUUCGGGGGCUCGAUUCCCACUGUGUGCG